Molecule: long non-coding RNA, 2722 nt
Filed under: Malus domestica (apple)
Lineage: Eukaryota; Viridiplantae; Streptophyta; Magnoliopsida; Rosales; Rosaceae
Description: long non-coding RNA (MDOM_LNC016993)
Source: RNAcentral
UUAUUUUCUAUUACAAGUGUGCAUUUGUCAUGUCUCACUAAUUCAUAAAAAAUAUAUAGCGAGAGUGCCACACCAACAAACAAGAAGCUUUGCUACCGUUCGCUCUCAAAGCACCUAACCUUCUCUUCCUCCGAAUCUGCAAAAUUAUGCCACUUCUCCUUUUCUUUUCUCAGAAUUUGUUACACAAAUUUGCAAAGAACUCGAUCAUCACCUUGAUAGGAGCAUAUUUAUGCGACUUAGUUGGCUUGUUCUUAAGCAUUUAUGUUGUUUUUCUUUAGUUAUUUUAGUGUUUAAAGUCAUUUUCGUGCAAUUUCAGGUUUAGAGACGAAGUAUGCAAAGAAGUGCAAAAUGGAGCAUUUUAGAGCAAAAUUGAGCUGGAAUGGAGUGUAUGCUAAUGGAGCACAAGGAAUGGACGAGUUUGAAGGUCAAAGGAGCUUAAGAAAUGAAGAAAUGAAAGUGAAGAACAAAGAAUUCAGAUUUGGAAACCAAAGUUUCUAAAGUUGGAAGUUUCUAUUCUUGGAGGUUUCCAUUUUCGAGAGUUUCUAUUCUUGGCUUUGGGCUUUUAGAUGACCUAAACCCUAAUUCCUUGUGGACCCUAACCCUAGCCGCACCUAGGCCUCUAGAAUAUCUGAUUUCCUUGCCUUGCAAGGCAUUCUAGAAGGCCCAUCUCUAAACCCUAACCCUAGCCACACCUUAGGCCUUAUUCCCACUAAAAAUCUGAUUGUUUUAACCUAAUUUCUGGUGGAUUUGGGCUUCUAGAAACCCUAAUCUGAUUGCUAGGGUUUUGAAGUGCCUAUAUAUACUCAUUAAACCCUUUUGGCCGGAUAUAUCACCUCCCAUAUACAUCAUUCACGUCAGAAACAAAGAGGCUCUCUUUGCCGCACCUUUCCACCACUAUAUUCCAUAUUUUCUGCCCAAAAUCAUCCCUAGCCGCACCACCCAUCAACCCUACACCUUUCCAUACCAUUCCCCAUCCAUUCUACACCAUAAAAAGCACCCAAAACCUGUUCUAAAGUUCUCUGCCGUAGCAAGGAGGAAGGAGAAUUCUUGGAUGCGCUUGCUGCCAAGUUGGAGCGUUCUAGGUGUUUUCUUUCUUUGGAUUUUAAUUUCUAAAUUUAUGUAUCUUUGCUUUGCGAGUAUGAGGAACUAAACCCCCCCCUUGGCUAGGGGGGGAUUCGAAACCAUGUUUAUGCUUGCUAUAUGAUUUGAUUACUUCUAAUUGCGUUUCAUAAGUUGUGAAUUCAAUUUACUUAUCUACAAGAAUUAAAACUGAUUUGUGUAUGUUGGUUGAGGGUCGACACUUAAUUUGCAUGCAUGAAUUUGAUGCUAGGAUAUAAGGAAAUUUCACCUAAUCGUUAUGGACUUAUAAUCAUAAGUAGUAAAGGUUGAUGAUCUCAAUCGCGUUAAGUAAAUUCUUGGCAUAAGUUUCAUGCAAUCAUAGUAACAAGUGCUUCGUCAAUGCUUAUGGUUUUCAUAGAACUUAAUGAUUCUUGCUUGUAUCUCUAUUAUGCAAUCAUGUAGGGGACUUGUGGGGAAUGCUUUGGGUUGUCGUAUGCAAUCAUCCAAUUCAAUAACGUUAGGAAAAUCUGAAGGUUAAUUUAAGCGGACCUAAUUAACUUGGGGCGUUGAGAAUUCAUGGGUUAUUGAAAAGCAAUUGGAAAUCGUUUUGAAUGCAAGUAUAACAUGUGUGGAGAUGAACCCCUUAGCUAGCUUUCCAUCCAUUCAUUUAAGCCAAAUUCGUUUUAAAAUCUGUUCUAGUUUACAAAGUUUUGUUUUGUUUUUAAAUUCGUCCAAAAUCAAUCCCCCUUUUCUUUGUUGAGUCAUAUUAGUUAGAAGUCAAGUUAGUUUGUGUUUUCAAGUGUUUUGAGUCAAGUUAAAACCUAAUUUCGUCCAAGUUUGUGUCUAGUGUUCAAAACUGCCCAGAAAGUGUUUUUAAGGCAGUUUUGAGUGUUUUGGUGCUGUUUUGAGUCUUUUGGUUUGUUUUGGUAUUUUAAAGUUUAGUUUUGCAUUCUUUGAGUCUAGUUUAGUGUUUUAAACUUGUUUUUACGUAUUUGAGUCAGUUUUCAAGUGAUUUUGCAAUCCCUCCUAAUCCCCGGCCUAGAACGAUCCCUACUUACAUACUUACUACAAUUGAUAAAAAGAGGGUUAAUUUGAGUGCUAGUUAAUAUCAUAUCACACCUUUCCCCUCAUUUUUAUUUUCGAAAAAUGUUACACUUCUAUAAAAUGAUUGCAAAUUCAAUCUAUCAUCAUUAUUAUAUAUGCUUCAUUUACUUUAGAAAUGGAUGCAUGGUUUAAAUUCCAUACUAAUUGAAGGAAUUCUUGCGAUAUUAAGUCUUUUUACAUACAAAAAUAGCAAUAUUCUAUGAAAUAGAAAAACAUACAAAAAUAGCAAUAUUUUAUAAAUUAAAAAAAAAACAAAAAUCUUCUAAAGCUCACUUGAAAAAUCAAAUUUUCUACAUCCCCAUAGUGAAACAAGGACGGUUGGUUUUGUUUAUUAGUUUGGCACGUGUGGUAGUUGGAAUAAUGAAAGUGGGAUGGUGGGCGGUAGAGGAAAAUGGAAGCGGGGAUGGUGGGCACCAAUUCAGCACCUUCAUAUUUAAUAAGGUAACAGGCUUUCUCCAUCAUAAAAAAUGUAACAGGCUUUCCGUUAGGGGCAAGUUUGGAAAAAAAGUAUUUAUUGUGUUGGGCUUUCAGCUCAGCCCAUGAGCUUUUAUGUUUGCAG